Molecule: long non-coding RNA, 1021 nt
Filed under: Rattus norvegicus (Norway rat)
Lineage: Eukaryota; Metazoa; Chordata; Mammalia; Rodentia; Muridae
Description: long non-coding RNA NONRATT017677
Source: RNAcentral
UCUGACUCCUCAGUGCCCUCUGGCUACCUGGAAGCUGGGUGAUGGGGAACUGCAGUGGGACAUCCUAGGUUGGGCAAGGGUGGGGUUGCUGAACACAAAGCCCGAAGUCACCCCGACUCUCUCUCUCUCUCAGUUCCGCAUCUACUUCAUGUACUUCCUGACGCUGUCCAUCAUCUGCCUUGCCUGGGCUGGGCUGGACGGCUUGAGGUACUACCGGCGUGGUCGCCACCAGCCGCUGGCCCAGGCCCAGGCUCUGAGUCCCUUGGAGGAUUCUGUGCAGGCGAUAAGCCUACAGGAUGGAGACCUAAGGAGACCGCAGCCCUCGGCACCACAGCUGCUCCCAGAGGAUGGCAGCGUAGAAGACGGCAGGGCAGACUUGAGAGUCGAAGCCAAGGCCUGACCUGUCUUCACCUUCCUGGCUUCAUCCCAGUUCAGCCGCCGGAUUCCUGACUCAGUGGCAGCCCCUCCUGUGUGCACUCCAGCCUGAAUCAGCCCUUCUGGGGUCCCAGUGCCUGAGACAUGUGGGGGCCCCCCUGUUGCCUUUCAGGAGCCUUCAGGUUAGGCCACAGAACUCUCUCCUUAGGGGCCACCUUUUUAAACAGUGGGGCGACAGACAGCUUGUCCUUCCGGUAGCCUCUGAGGACCCUAAGCCCAGCCUACUUCAUGCUUUAGCAAUGGCUGGAGCCUGCUACAGACACUCAGGACCGCUCCCUGGCUUUUGUGAACCACAAUGUCAGGCCACUACGAGCCUGGGUUGCCUACUGCUUGCCAAGAAGAACCUGUGUAGGGGUCAGCUGUGCCCACCAGGCUGGUCUGCCCUUUGCUCUGGGAUGCUCAGGACAAAUCACGUCUGCCCCCAGGGCUAGUGAGGUAGCCCAGACACCGGACAAGGUCCGCUGAGCCUGCAGGGUACUGGUUACCUGUCCUAGGCUCCUGGUGAAGCUGCCAUACCUCCACUCUCGGAGGUGCUUGUUUGAAUGGUUGUCUGAUUUUUUAAAACUUGACAUUAAAAUGGAGAACU